Molecule: ribosomal RNA, 485 nt
Filed under: uncultured bacterium
Lineage: Bacteria
Description: bacterial SSU rRNA
Rfam family: Bacterial small subunit ribosomal RNA
Source: RNAcentral
GCGACAGGCCUAACACAUGCAAGCGAGGGGCAGCACAAGGAGCAAUCUGAGGUGGCGACCGGCGCACGGGUGAGUAACACGUAUGCAACCUGCCUGUAAGCGGGGAAUAACCCGUUGAAAGACGGACUAAUACCGCAUAAUACUAAAUUACUGCAUGGUAAUUUAUUUAAACAUUUAUGGCUUACAGAUGGGCAUGCGCAUGAUUAGCUAGUUGGAGAGGUAACGGCUCCCCAAGGCAACGAUCAUUAGGGGUUCUGAGAGGAAGGUCCCCUACACUGGUACUGAGACACGGACCAGACUCCUACGGGAGGCAGCAGUGAGGAAUAUUGGUCAAUGGACGAGAGUCUGAACCAGCCAAGUCGCGUGCAGGAAGAAUGUUCCCUAUGGAUUGUAAACUGCUUUUGCAGGGGAAUAAAGUGCAUCACGUGUGAUGUUUUGUAUGUACUCUGCGAAUAAGGAUCGGCUAACUCCGUGCCAGCCGCUGC